RNAcentral lists this small nuclear RNA (285 nucleotides) under Jaculus jaculus (lesser Egyptian jerboa). Its description in RNAcentral is "7SK RNA (ENSJJAG00000008277.1)". It matches the Rfam family "7SK RNA". Rfam says of the family: 7SK was discovered as an abundant small nuclear RNA in the mid-70s but a possible function has only recently been suggested. Two independent studies have found that 7SK RNA binds the CDK9/cyclin T complex (known as elongation factor P-TEFb). Lineage: Eukaryota; Metazoa; Chordata; Mammalia; Rodentia; Dipodidae. The record is from RNAcentral.
GGAUGUGAGGGCACUCUGGCUGUGACAUCUGUCACCCCAGUGAUCACCAGGGCUGAUCCAGCUGAUCUGGAUGGCUAGGCAAGUGUCCCCUUCCUCCAUCACCACUCCUUGUGCAUCCCAAGAUGCCUGAAGAUGUGGCCUCAGUGAAAGAGAACAACCUUCCCCAAAUAGAGGAGGACUGGUCUUUGGCCAAGGGUAUAUGAGUAGCUGUGCUCUCCCGCUAGAACCUCCAAACAAGCUCUCAAGACUUAAGAGUGAAGCCUAGACAAGUCACUGGUAGUCAGU